CGUGAACUGGGUUCAGAACGUCGUGAGACAGUUCGGUCCCUAUCUGUUGCGGGCGUUAGAAGUUUGAGGGGAGCUACCAUUAGUACGAGAGGACCGUGGUGGACGAACCGCUAGUGUACCAGUUGUCCCGCCAGGGGCACCGCUGGGUAGCUAUGUUCGGACGGGAUAAGCGCUGAAAGCAUCUAAGCACGAAGCCCACCCCAAGAUGAGACUUCUUUAUAAGGGUCGUGGAAGAUUACCACGUUGAUAGGCCACAGGUGUAAAGUCAGCAAUGGCAAAGCCGAGUGGUACUAAUUACCCGUAGACUUUCGAUC
This 314-nucleotide ribosomal RNA is filed under the name Flavobacteriales bacterium. RNAcentral describes it as "partial 23S ribosomal RNA". It matches the Rfam family "Bacterial large subunit ribosomal RNA", at positions 2599 to 2925 of the family's 2925-position model. The record is from RNAcentral. Lineage: Bacteria; Pseudomonadati; Bacteroidota; Flavobacteriia; Flavobacteriales.